This 495-nucleotide ribosomal RNA is filed under the name Acrobeloides sp. Sourhope farm. RNAcentral describes it as "SSU rRNA". It matches the Rfam family "Eukaryotic small subunit ribosomal RNA", at positions 35 to 528 of the family's 1831-position model. Lineage: Eukaryota; Metazoa; Nematoda; Chromadorea; Rhabditida; Cephalobidae. The record is from RNAcentral.
GCCUAAAGAUUAAGCCAUGCAUGUCUAAGUAUAAACGAUUUAAUCGUGAAACCGCGAAUGGCUCAUUAUAACAGCUAUAAUUUACUUGAUCUUGACACAAUCCUACUUGGAUAACUGUGGUAAUUCUAGAGCUAAUACAUGCAUUAAAGCUCUGACCUCACGGGAAGAGUGCAUUUAUUAGAACAAAACCAAGCGGCUUCGGCUGUUUCUGGUUGACUCAUAGUAACUGAGCUGAUCGCAUGGUCUUGCACCGGCGACGUGUCUUUCAAGUAUCUGCCGUAUCAACUUUCGAUGGUAGUGUAUCUGACUACCAUGGUGAUCACGCGUAACGGAGAAUAAGGGUUCGGCUCCGGAGAGUUCGCCUGAGAAAUCGCGAACACAUCUAAGGAAGGCAGCAGGCGCGAAAAUUACCCACUCUCAGCACGAGGAGGUAGUGACGAAAAAUAACGAGACCGUUCUCUUAUGAGGCCGGUCAUCGGAAUGGGUACAAUUUAG